This 70-nucleotide non-coding RNA is filed under the name Limosilactobacillus oris. RNAcentral describes it as "TPP riboswitch (THI element)". It matches the Rfam family "TPP riboswitch aptamer (THI element)", at positions 9 to 90 of the family's 105-position model. Rfam says of the family: Vitamin B(1) in its active form thiamin pyrophosphate (TPP) is an essential coenzyme that is synthesised by coupling of pyrimidine and thiazole moieties in bacteria. The record is from RNAcentral. RNAcentral also lists the same sequence under 1 other name. Lineage: Bacteria; Bacillati; Bacillota; Bacilli; Lactobacillales; Lactobacillaceae.
UCUGGGGUGCCAUCUGGCUGAGAUAAUACCCAUUGAACCUGACCUGGUUAACACCAGCGGAGGAAGAAUC